GGUUAAGCAGAAUUUGCAUAGGGUGCAGCUUAGAGUAAGCAACAUCAUCAGCAAAUUUUGGCAGGUUUUGGAAAAAAUUGUGAUUUUACUUACCAAAAACAGUGCAAAUGCUAUGGAAUGCUAUCAUGACCCUCAGCAAUUACCAAAUACACAUUAAUAUCACAAAAUUGAAGAAUUUAAGCUCAUCAUCUCUCAUAAACUUAUCAAGCAUAGUGCAAGCAUGUGGUAAUUAGCUCAAAUUAGGCACAAAUUGUGAUUACCCUUUGCAAACAUAAUAAGAUGGUCUUAUUCCUAAGCUUAUACCCAAAGCACAUUUUCAGUAGCAUUUGAGACAA
This 335-nucleotide unclassified non-coding RNA is filed under the name Hevea brasiliensis (rubber tree). The record is from RNAcentral. Lineage: Eukaryota; Viridiplantae; Streptophyta; Magnoliopsida; Malpighiales; Euphorbiaceae.